This 127-nucleotide microRNA precursor is filed under the name Myotis lucifugus (little brown bat). RNAcentral's name for it is "mir-9193 microRNA precursor family". The record is from Rfam by way of RNAcentral. Lineage: Eukaryota; Metazoa; Chordata; Mammalia; Chiroptera; Vespertilionidae.
AGUGCACUGGUGGGGUCCCUUGGCCUGGCCUGUGCCCUCUCACAAUCCGGGGCCCCUUGGGGAAUGUCAGAGAGCUGGUUUCAUCCCGAUCCCCGCAGGCCAGGCCAAGGGACCCCACCGGUGCAUG